Molecule: ribosomal RNA, 429 nt
Filed under: Chloroflexota bacterium
Lineage: Bacteria; Bacillati; Chloroflexota
Description: Chloroflexi bacterium partial 16S ribosomal RNA
Rfam family: Bacterial small subunit ribosomal RNA
Source: RNAcentral
UGGGGAAUAUUGCACAAUGGGCGCAAGCCUGAUGCAGCCAUGCCGCGUGUAUGAAGAAGGCCUUCGGGUUGUAAAGUACUUUCAGUCGGGAGGAAGGUGGUAAGGUUAAUAACCUUGGCAAUUGACGUUACCGACAGAAGAAGCACCGGCUAACCCCGUGCCAGCAGCCGCGGUAAUACGGAGGGUGCAAGCGUUAAUCGGAAUUACUGGGCGUAAAGCGCACGCAGGCGGUUGAUUGAGUCAGAUGUGAAAUCCCCGGGCUUAACCCGGGAAUUGCAUCUGAUACUGGUCAGCUAGAGUCUUGUAGAGGGGGGUAGAAUUCCAUGUGUAGCGGUGAAAUGCGUAGAGAUGUGGAGGAAUACCGGUGGCGAAGGUGGCCCCCUGGACAAAGACUGACGCUCAGGUGCGAAAGCGUGGGGAGCAAACAGG